AAGUCGUAACAAGGUUUCCGUAGGUGAACCUGCGGAAGGAUCAUUAUUGAAAUAAACCUGAUGGGUUGCUGCUGGUUCUCUAGAGAGCAUGUGCACACUUGUCAUCUUUAUAUCUCCACCUGUGCACCUUUUGUAGACCUGGAUAUCUUUCUGAAUGCCUAGCAUUUGGGUUUGAGGAUUGACUUUGUUGUCUUUCCUUACAUUUUCAGGCCUAUGUUUCUUCAUAUACCCCAUGUAUGUUAUAGAAUGUAAUAAAUGGGCCUUUGUGCCUAUAAACCUAUACAACUUUCAGCAACGGAUCUCUUGGCUCUC
Molecule: unclassified non-coding RNA, 312 nt
Filed under: air metagenome
Description: partial contains small subunit ribosomal RNA, internal transcribed spacer 1, and 5.8S ribosomal RNA
Rfam family: Eukaryotic small subunit ribosomal RNA (bases 1-46)
Source: RNAcentral